This 474-nucleotide ribosomal RNA is filed under the name Xylica cf. graueri SB0207. RNAcentral's name for it is "partial large subunit ribosomal RNA". The stretch from base 339 to 474 matches the Rfam family "Bacterial large subunit ribosomal RNA", at positions 2473 to 2608 of the family's 2925-position model. Lineage: Eukaryota; Metazoa; Arthropoda; Insecta; Phasmatodea; Bacillidae. The record is from RNAcentral.
AUAUUUAAUGGCCGCGGUAAUUUGACCGUGCAAAGGUAGCAUAAUCAUUAGUCUUUUGAUUGGGGACUUGUAUGAAUGGUUUGACAAGAUAUUAACUGUCUCAUAUUAUUAUUUAUAAUUUGAAUUUUGAGUGAAAAUGCUUAAAUUUUUUUAUUGGACGAGAAGACCCUAUAGAUCUUAAUUAAUUUGAAUUUUAUUUUAUUUAGUUUAUUUUUUUAAUAAUUUUUUUAUUUUUUUUGUUGGGGUGACAUUGAGAUAUAUAUAACUCUUUUUAUUUUUAUACAAUUAUUUUUGUUUAUUUGACCUUUUAUUAUUAUUAUAAGAUUAGAUACCUUAGGGAUAACAGCGUAAUUUCUUUUGAGAGUUCUUAUCGACAAGGAAGAUUGCGACCUCGAUGUUGGAUUAAGAUAGUUUUUAGGUGUAGAAGCUUAUUUAUUUAGGUCUGUUCGACCUUUAAAAUCUUACAUGAUCUGA